Long non-coding RNA from Papaver somniferum (opium poppy), 483 nucleotides. RefSeq lists it as uncharacterized. The transcript has 3 exons. The record is from RefSeq and is a predicted model, not a curated record. Lineage: Eukaryota; Viridiplantae; Streptophyta; Magnoliopsida; Ranunculales; Papaveraceae.
UUUGUUUUCCUUUUAUUGAUUUUCUUUUUUCAUGUUGCAUUCUUAAUGUUUUUUCAUUUGAUUUUGAGAAGUAGAAGUGCCAAAACAAUUGCUGAAGAUCAAGCUGUGUCGAGGGAGCCGUGAAAUAUUUAGCUUAUGCUGUUACAUGUCGUGCCAGUAAAAAUGUCAUUUCACCUCUAGUUCAGUGCACAGCCCAUGUGUCCUGGCAUGUUAAGCUCAAUUGCAACUUUAAUGGAGAGUGAAGACCCCAAUCACAAAUUUCAAUUAUUGAAUGAACUACAUGCAGUGGAAGUGUGGAACAUGGUUGUUCAGCAUCAUAAUCCGAAUAAGAUCACCCAGAUUUUCAAUUUGAGUUACAAGCUUUUUACUCCGUGCUCCUAUAAGAAAUGUACAAUCAGAGAAAGAUAUACAAAGAAUACAGCUGUUGAGUAUUGGUUAUUCAUGCAGCUGUUGCUGCACCUUCGAAAAUCUGAAGCCACUUAG